UACAACACAUUUUUCUUAAAUCAUACUGUCAAACUGAUUUUUUCCCAUAAAAUGGAGAAAUCAGUCAUCUGCACUUUUCUUUUUGUAGUUUUUAUUCAUGGAGUCUGGAGUCAGGUCAAACUGGAGCAGUCAGACUCUCAGGUGAAGAGACCUGGAGAGACAGUGAAGAUGUCUUGUGUCAUUUCUGGGUACAGCCCGACAAGCCAUUAUAACCACUGGAUAAGACAGAGACCAGGGAGAGGACUGGAGUGGAUUGGGAGGAUGGACAAUGGUAGAAAUGCUGUCAUCUAUGGCAGCUCCUUCCAAAGUCGUUUCAUCAUGACUGAAAAUGUCCCCAGCAGCACCCAGUACCUGCAGAUCAGCAGCCUGACAGCAGAAGAUUCUGCUGUUUACUUCUGCGCUCGAGAGACACAGUGACUGAAAGCAGAGGAACAGCUGCAC
This is a non-coding RNA of Poecilia latipinna (sailfin molly), 441 nucleotides long. NCBI's taxonomy places the organism in Eukaryota, Metazoa, Chordata, Actinopteri, Cyprinodontiformes, Poeciliidae. The record is from the annotation of a RefSeq genome assembly.